AAGUUUCCUGAGGCCUCCCCAGCCAUAAGAAACUCCAAAGCCAGGCAUCCCAUCUGGAGAGAGAGAAGACUGAAGCAGAAACACAAUGGGAAGGAAGCAAAGAUGGAGGUAGAAUAGCUGCCACGAGCCCUGAUAGUUUCAGGCCUUGACUGCAUGUCCUUAGGAUCUCAGGCUUCUCUGUUUUUCCUUUGGGUUCCAUGAAAAACCCCGAUAUUUUGGUAAUAAACACCCUUGGGUUGCUUUGCCUGGCUUGAAGAUUUUGCUUACAAACUAAAGAACUGUGGACAAGAUACACUUCUUGUCUCAAGAGGGCCUGUAUAUUUUAGGAUUUAACUGCGUGUACAUGGAAAGAAAGGUCAGGAACGUUGGUUUUACCUCUCUUCUCGAUGAGAACAGCACUGGGCUCCCAAUCACUACUUAACCUUUAUCCUGCAAGUUCUAGUUUUUAAAAUAAUUGAAAAGUUAGAAAAGUAAUAUAGGAUUUUACUUUUGGAAAGUAUUGAACCUAAUGAGAAUGUUUUAAAUUUAAAAUGUAUGUUUUCAGGACCUCCUGGCUUGGUGACUUUGGACAAGUCACUUAAUUGUUUUAAGCCUCUGUUUUUUCAUAUCUAAAAUGGGGUUGAUAACAGUGCUGUCACAAAGGACUGUUGAGGGCAUUUACUAGAAAAUUGUGUCUGCUAGGCACAGUACAGGGCCUGGCACAUGGCUCGCAGAUCUAUCAGUUAGAACCGAAUAUUGCAAGUGAGAGGAAACUCCAAUAUUGGCUUUAACAACACAAUAACUAUCCUGGUGCACGUAGGUGAAAAGGGCGGAGUUAUGACAGGCUUCAGAUGAGGUUUUACCGGAGAUGUAGUUUCUCCAUUCUGCCUUUUGCAAUGUCAUCUUCAUCCUCAGGAUGCAUCCCAUGGUCUUUUGGCAGAUCUGGGCUCUCCCUACUUAGUAGCAAAUCAGAUACAACAGUUCCAACUGUCACAUCCUUAUGCACACUAUGCUUUAGCUCAGGAGAGGGGUGCAUCAUUUCAAACUAGCCUUACCAAAAACUUCACUGGCUCUGAUUAGAUUCCUUAUCACCUCAAGCAUUGUAGGCAGGAGGCGGAAUGGAAUUCACUUAUUGGAUUACUAGCAUCCAGUUCUGGCAUAGGGAUGGUGAAAGGAAUAGGUCCCUAAGGGUGGCUCAUGCCUGUAAUCCCAGCAUUUUGGGAGGCUGAGGCAGGCAGAUCACCUGAGGUCGGGAGUUCGAGACCAGCCUGACCAACAUGGAGAAACCCCGUCUCUACUAAAAGUACAAAAAUUAGUCAGGCAUGGUGGCACAUGCCUGUAAUCCCAGCUGCUAGGGAGGCUGAGACAGGAGAAUCACUUGAACCCAGGAGGUGGAGGUUGCGGUGAGCCGAGAUUGUGCCAUUUCACUCCAGCCUGGGCAACAAGAGAGAAACUACAUCUCAAAAAAAAAAAAAAAAAAAAAAAAAGAGAAGAAAAUAUAAGGAACUCUUUCCAGAAGUAAAGAGAAUAGAUUUGAGGCAGUUGUCUUCUACAGUGCAAAACAUUCAAGAAAUGUACCUUUCUUUCACCUUAAAAAGAUUUUUUUAAGAACCCAUACAAAAUAGUAUAUUAUUUUAUCCAGUAUUAUAAUUAUGCAUGAGCUACUACAAUUGCUGCAUACAUUUUUGUGAGUUUAUGUCUGAAUGUGAUUUUUACAAUUGGAUCUUAAGAAAUGUCUUAUUCUUAACCCAAAGGUCGAUCUGAACAAAUCUUUCUUUGUAUUUUAUUUGCCUUUAAAAAAUUCUUUUAUGGGGGCUCUACUCUUCAGAGUCUGCUAAGGAAAUGAGAUUUUGGCAAUGUUUUAAUUCAAAAAAAGAACUCCUAGUUUUACUGUGCUGGAUCUGGUUGUCUUUAGUUUCCAUUAUAUUCCUGUUCCAUUAUUCCUUCAAUAACUUUGUUCUCCCAUGACUCUUCUUUAUUGUUACCACAUUUUUUCUGUUCUUUUCAGAGAUGAGUUUUUGGAUUCAACUGAAGCCCUUGCUAUCUGCUAGAGUCAGAGUCAUCACAAUUGGGGGGUCUUCAUUAAGCUACACUUUUUAAUGGAACAUCCUAGUGAGGUUUGAGAGUACAGCUUUAUGGUCUAUAUUACAUUACUAAGCCGAUUUUAUUGGGUUAGUCUAUACGUUUUACAAAUUUGUUAUUCUAAUCUCCCCGAAGAAAUAAUUUCCUUAUUGAUCCCUUUCUUUUUCCCCCAUUUUAUUUUCCCAUAUUUUGUGAUAUCCUCUACUUCAACUUUAAAAAAUUAUAACCAUAGAAAGAAAUACAUUUUACAUUAUGACCCAGUGUGUAUACUCACAGAAACAUAUUCAUAUAGAAAACAAGUUUCACGAAACAAUACUUCCUCUGUACAGUGCACUUUGGUGUUGUUAUUGUGUUCUAUUCUAUUCAUUUUCUUCCAUCCUACUAUGUUAUAAAAGUUGCUCUUUUACAAAUCUGUAAUUUGAUCUUAUGACCCACUGACAUGUCUCAACAUACCAUUUGAAAAUUAUUGCUAAACUGUACUUUCUCACUAGUGAUAUUGUACAUCCAGGGUUUAUGAUUGUGUUCAAGAGAAUUCUUGUCUUUGUAAGGCAAAAAUGGCAAAUAUGUCUAUUUCCAUCUAAAAGAGCAUUAUACAAAAUAAAAUUAUUAAGAGUUUCCACUUAAUAGCUGCACUGUUUAGAGCCCACUGGAAGCACAUCAAGUGAGUAUGCAUGCCAAUUAAUGAAAACCAGAUAAAUUAUAUGAUUCAGUUACUCAUUUUGUUAACUACCCAACACAGUGAUGAUGAACACCUUGAUUGUUUUGACUGUUAUGAAGUAAUUUCUGCACAUCUGCCUCACCAGAUCCAUAAUUUACAUUCAGCUCCCUCACCAGAUCCAUAAUUUACAUUCAUCUCAUUAUAUGAGGCAUCAUGAUUACCACUAAUACAUUAAAAACCAACUUAUAAAAGAAAAUAAAAUUUUAAAUUGUAUUCAGUUUAUAUUUUAUUUACUGGGACUAAACACUUCAUAGCAACAAUGUGUUAUUUUUGAGAAGUGUCUAUACAUAGUAGUGUAAACAUUUAUUUUAAUUAUCAUUAAGAAUCAAAAAAUGAAGAGUAUCUAAAUAAUCCAAUUGAUAUUUUAAGGAAUAAAAAUAUAAGAAUUACAAACAUCAGAUCAUGAAGUUAGUUUUGGUCCAUUUUUGAUUCCACAACACAUUGUUAAAAUGUCAAUGAAAAUAUUAAUAUUCAUUUGGUAUAAGACCAAACAAAAGUAAUUUAUAAAUACAUUUUCUUUUAUUUACAUAUUUAAAUGAAAGGGACUAUCACCUUUAAAAUGGGAAAAGCCUAAAUAUCUCUUUCUUUCUGCCUCUUCCUCCCAUCCUUCUACCCUUCUGUCCUCCAUCUCCAUCUGUUUAUGUACAAAGAAGUUAACUGGCCUAUUCUACACCUCUUGAAAGAUGUAUGAACCAUCAUUUGUUUAUUUAAAUGAGUCCUUGGUAGUUCUAACCCUGGAACAUAUUCUACAGAGUUGCCAGUGCAAAAUAUAGCACAAUGACUCAUCAGCACCUAAAAUUUGUAGCAUCUGCUUGGUGAAUUUUGAUUUGAAACUCGUACUUGAUAUUGUGUUUCUUUUCUGUUCACCAUGUGUUAAUAUGUGUGGUGUAUUUUCCUCCAUAAGCAGUUAACAGUUUCUAAUGUGGAUACUUCAGUUUCAGGGAUGAUUGCCCAUCUCCCUGAGGUGCCCAUUAGGGUGCCCCAAUGAAUCCCAUAGUGUUGUAUAGUUUGCAUUUUAAUUCAGCUAAUCCAAAACACGUUCUCCAAAUUCGGUGAAAGUCUGUUCAGAUAUUUCUUUUAUGAUGUUGAAGUCAAUAAUUUUAUUUAAGUUACCUGUAAGAUAAUAGACUUUAGGUAUUAUAUAAAUUAAUUACAUAAAAUGAUCUUAAAUAAUAUGCUGACAUAAUUUUUUUUACUUAAAACUCUUGUUUUGUCCUAUGUAAUUCAAAAGUAACAAAAUGAUUUAAAAAUUCUGUUUUUUCAAUCCUUUAUUAUUAUUCAAGAGUUUGAGUGUCAAAGUCAGUCUACACUUCUGUAAAGAAAUAUAAAAAUCAGUGGUGUAUUUGGCUACAGGUAAUCUGUUCUUGGCUCCAACAUUACUAAACAGAUGACUGGAUGUGUGUGUGUGUGUGUGUGUGUGUGUGUGUGUGUGUGUGUGUCUAGAAGCUGAGGCUAACAGGAGAGGGUAAUUGCCCAUAAAAGUGAAAUAAAAAGCCAAAAUUCUUCUCUUAAGCUUAAGCUUUUUCCCUCCUUAGCAUUACUUCAUAAGAAAUGUAGCAGUGGAAACAUAAGGUUGGCAUGUUUAGAAAAUUCAAUCAUAAAUAAAAACAUUGUGUGAACUGGUUUUUAGUUUUGAAUUAACCUGGGCAAAUUCAGCUGGUUACUCCUUUUCCCUUUUUCCCAGUUUUCAAAGUUAAAAAAUUUAUGACUCUCAGGCAAAGAUAGUGUGAACUCAUGUCAAAGAUUUUAUUUAACUUAAUCCAUGAGGGAACCCAUAAAAUGUUAAAACUUGUAUAAGAAUUUGAGAAGCUACACACACACACAUACACACACAUGCACACACACACACUCUCACACAUUUCAUAAAAGAAUAUUAGGAUAAGAUUUCUCGAUACAAAACUGUUACCUUUGGGGUUAUCUCUCCGCCAGAAAGAACUUGUUUGCAUCCCUGCUAGACAAAAACCUACAAGUUAACCUUUGCCCGUAUGGAGUUGUAAAACAGACCAGUUGAUAGAAAGAGAAGCCUGCUUCCCGAAGCCCUCAGCAGAAGCCGAGCAGAUGUUGGCACCAUGCUUCUUGUACAGCCUGCAGAACUUGAAGAAACACUCCAUAUUAGUUUUCUGGAGCCAUCGUUAUGAAGCAACACAGACUGGGUGGCAUAAACAAUGGAGAUUUAUUUUUUCACAAUUCCGGAGGCUAGAAGUUUGAGAUCAAGGUGUUGGAAAGUGUCUCAGGAUGAUACAUACCGGUUUUUAACUUUGGUGUCAUCAAAUGCAAUUGCAAUGUGACUGUUUCUUGAAAGCCCGAACUGCUUGCUCCCUAUCAAAAGAGCUGGUUCUGAUUCUGCAGCACAAGGACCCUGUAAAAUACCCAGGAGAGAAAAACAGGAGAUUAUGGACUGUUCUUUAAAAAGUGCAAGGAGCACAUUGCUCAACCAAUUCCAUCGUGGACACUAAGGAAGAGAAUGAGAUAUUCAAGAGUUUUCAAGAUCUGCACUCAAGACAACAUUGCCCACCCAUUACUGGUAUGGAAUAUAACCACAACACAUGAGCUGUAAAGAGUGUAGUGACUGUGACCAUCUUUGUUGUAUUGGUGAUAAGAAUGUAAAUUGGCAUAGCCUGUGGAAGAAACAAUUCAGGUAUGUGUAUUGAAAACCUUAGACAUAUUCAUCUUUUGGCCUUAUAAUUUCCUAACUACUUAUCUAUUUUAAGAAUAACUGGAAAUAAUGAAAAAGCUUGAUGCAUAGAGGAGCUCAUCAGAGUAUAGUUUCUAAUAGUGAAAAACUGGAAACACUCUCAAUAGCCUACCAUGGUCUAUUAAAAGUAGAAUAAAUUGGAAAGGCAGAGUGUUCCAGAGAUAAGGAGUCAGACUUUGGAGUCUGACUCGCUAGAAUAAAAUUCUUACUCUGCCUUUUACUAGUGGUGUGAGUGGGUUGGUUGCUUAAGAUAGCUAAUUCUUAUUAACUCGACUAAAAGUAGAAAGACUAUAUUUUACAGAGCCGUUAUGAGAAUUACAUAUAAUAUUGAAUGAAAAUUGUUUAGCCCUGGGCUGGUGAAAGUACUCAUUAUUAUCAUUACUACAUAGUACUUAUGCCAUUUAUUAAACGUUCAGUAUAUGUGAGUCAUUGAACAAACAUUAUCUUUUAAAACUCUGAUACAAAGUCUUUGAUGUCUGUGCUGUUAAUAUCCUCAUUUGACAGAUGAGGAAACAGAAAUAGUCUAUGGCCAAAUCACCCUGAAAGCAUCCGAUCUUUUCUGAUCUCAAAAGCUAAGCAGGGUUGGGCCCGGUUAGUACUUGGAUGGGAAACUGAGAAAUAGAUUGGACAGGUAGCUUUCCCAAAUUCACACAGAUGGUCGGUUACAGUGCUGGGAUUUGAAUACCAGCAGUCUGACUUGAGCCCAUGCUCUAAUCAAGGCUAUAUGACCUCCAAUACUAUAAAAUAGUUGUGUGUCUCUGUGUGUAUAUAUACUUAACAUAAAAUCAUAUUAGACAUACACAUUUAUAUGAUGUUUAGAUACAGUUUUUAUUUAUUUAUUUAUUUUUAUUUUUUGGAGAUGGAGUCUCGCUCUGUUGCCCA
RNAcentral lists this long non-coding RNA (6356 nucleotides) under Homo sapiens (human). The record is from RNAcentral. Lineage: Eukaryota; Metazoa; Chordata; Mammalia; Primates; Hominidae.